Molecule: unclassified non-coding RNA, 328 nt
Filed under: fungal sp.
Lineage: Eukaryota; Fungi
Description: partial internal transcribed spacer region
Source: RNAcentral
CUUGGUCGUGCAUCCCGUCCACCAGCCACUCGCGAAUGCGCUCAACGUCGUUCAGUGGCCCGUCAAGAGGAGGGAACUGGUUUUCAUCCUUGUAUCGCGAUAUGCCAACAAGGAGGGCGUAGUCCUGGUCAGCCAUUUCGACGCUCAUGCGCUGAUGAUUUCCACCAACGACUUCAGAGUCGGCUCAUCGUUGUCGAAGUCGCCGUGGUGCUGCGAAUCACUGUUCAGGCCCGCAGCCGCGCCUUCCGCUUUCGACCAAACCAUUCGGUGCGGCUGGGCAUUGAGGAACUUCCAGACCUUUUGCACCUUCUGGUCAUCGCUGAACGCC